RNAcentral lists this ribosomal RNA (380 nucleotides) under uncultured Lactobacillus sp. RNAcentral's name for it is "bacterial SSU rRNA". It matches the Rfam family "Bacterial small subunit ribosomal RNA", at positions 164 to 524 of the family's 1533-position model. The record is from RNAcentral. Lineage: Bacteria; Bacillati; Bacillota; Bacilli; Lactobacillales; Lactobacillaceae.
UGAUACCGGAUAAGAAAGCAGAUCGCAUGAUCAGCUUUUAAAAGGCGGCGUAAAGCUGUCGCUAUGGGGAUGGCCCCCGCGGUGCAUUAGCUAGUUGGUAAGGUAAAGGCUUACCAAGGCGAUGAUGCAUAGCCGAGUUGAGAGACUGAUCGGCCACAUUGGGACUGAGACACGGCCCAAAACUCCUACGGGAGGCAGCAGUAGGGAAUCUUCCACAAUGGACGCAAGUCUGAUGGAGCAACGCCGCGUGAGUGAAGAAGGUUUUCGGAUCGUAAAGCUCUGUUGUUGGUGAAGAAGGAUAGAGGUAGUAACUGGCCUUUAUUUGACGGUAAUCAACCAGAAAGUCACGGCUAACUACGUGCCCAGCAGCCGCGGGUAAU